Molecule: transfer RNA, 72 nt
Filed under: Camelus bactrianus (Bactrian camel)
Lineage: Eukaryota; Metazoa; Chordata; Mammalia; Artiodactyla; Camelidae
Also listed under: 2 other names
Rfam family: tRNA
About the family: Transfer RNA (tRNA) molecules are approximately 80 nucleotides in length.
Source: Rfam by way of RNAcentral
GAGGGUAUAGCUCAGUGGUAGAGUGCAUGCUUAGCAUGCACGAGGUCCUGGGUUCAAUCCACAGUACCUCCA